UAUGUUCAGUAAAUGUCAGUGUUUCUAUCAGUUUCCAGCAGCAGAGAGAAAAGUCCCCUGUACCCAGCUGUGUGUCCAUGAAGAGUGAUCGGUCUAAGGGUCAUCUGAUUACCUUCAAAGAUGGACGUCCUUCUUCUGACCUGCUAGUGGACCAGGAGAGCUCAGAGGUUCCCAGUGGUCAGUCUGCCCAGCAGCAUCAAACACACCUGGACUCCAUAUUUAUGCUGCUGGAGGAGAACAUCCUCACUUUUGUGAAGAACGAGCUGAAGAAGAUCCAGAAGGUUCUGAGU
Epinephelus lanceolatus (giant grouper) is the source of this 290-nucleotide non-coding RNA. Lineage: Eukaryota; Metazoa; Chordata; Actinopteri; Perciformes; Serranidae. The record is from RefSeq and is a predicted model, not a curated record.